CCACGCGCAACGAAAAAGCUCACCGCCACACAGCUUCCAGCACUCGAACCAAUAUAAGCAAAACACAUUUGAAAAUGUGUUUUGGCUGUUUUUGUAGGUUUAAGAAGACUUCAUUUUUCUGACCAUUCAAGCAAACAAACACGAAUUCAGCCGCUGCUUUAAUGCCCUCUGACCAGAGGAGCUGGUUUUGCCACCGAGUUAACUGUCAGUGCUGCAAGGUCAGUGGCCUGUGAUCAUGUUUGUAGCAGGUUUGGCUUGGAUUUGGUGAGACAGCCAGCAAACCUGGGAGAUUAUGAAACCGUGAACCAGCCCUGGGAAGUGUAGUCAAGUUUCAAUUUGGGGGUUUCUCCGGGUGAGGGAAUCCUGCGGGCUCCAUUUCUACCAGGAUCACAAACGCAGGUGCAGUUCGGCCGCCGCAUGCUGCCUGGCGGGAGAAACGCGCACAAACCGCAGACGCGUGCUCGCGUACUGGCCACUAGCUCGGGGCACGCCCGUGUUAUUUACACCCUGCUCAGGCGGUGGGCGGGGGAGGCUCUCAUUUGUUACUUUAAACUCGCGGGGAGGAACUGUAAGCUGCCGUGGCGGGACUGGCAGGCAGGGAGGGGGGCACCCCCCGCUCGGCUCCAGGGGCGUGACGCUGCUGCUGCCCUCCGCCCCUGGCUUCCACCCUGUUUGCGUGGCCACAAGAUCAGCGGUGGACCAGCGUGGCCGGGCCCCAGGAGCCCUAGCACGGGCCUACCGCCCCCUACUUCUCCCCCACUCCCCACCCCUUCAUACGCCUGUGAGACCGGCUUACCCUGGUGGGCGAGUCGCGGCGCAUUAGCGGAUUUCAUGGCAAGUUGCUUCUGUGACAUGAGAUCAGACAGGGACCGGAUGGCCUCCUGCCCGAAGACUUUCUCUGCAGCCGGGCCUGGAGCAGGAGGGUCAGCCGGGCUGCAACCGGGCCCGCGGAUUCCUGCAAGGUCGCGGGACGAGAGGUGCGUGGAGGAUAGACCUCGGGCUUGGCGCCCAGCGGCCCCCCUAGGCGCCCAGGGUCUGAGCCAGACGCACAAGCCCAAAUUCCCUCCAGCUUCUUCCGCUCCAUCUUUAAGUCCAGGCAAAGAUCAAUUCCCUCUCUCUCUUGCACACACACAUUUGCAGCCAUAA
Molecule: non-coding RNA, 1146 nt
Organism: Callithrix jacchus (white-tufted-ear marmoset)
Lineage: Eukaryota; Metazoa; Chordata; Mammalia; Primates; Cebidae
Source: RefSeq, a predicted model, not a curated record